ACCGCAUGUCUAGUAUAAAUAACUUUAUAUUGUGAAACUGCGAAUGGCUCAUUAAAUCAGUUAUGAUCUACGUGACAAAUUCUUUACUACUUGGAUAACCGGGGUAAUUCUAGAGCUAAUACAUGCAAAAAAGCCCUGACUCACGAAGGGGUGCACUUAUUAGAUAAAACCAACGCGGGGUAAAACCUGUUUCGUGGUGAAUCAUAAUAAUUAAGCGGAUCGCAUGGCCUUGAGCCGGCGACGGUCCACUCGAUUUUCUGCCCUAUCAUGUUGAGAUGUAAGAUAGAGGCUUACAAUGCCUAUAACGGUAACGGGGAAUUAGGGUUCGAUUCCGRAGAGGGAGCCUGAGAAACGGGCUACCACAUCCAAGGAAGGCAGCAGGCGCGCAAAUUACCCAAUCCCGACCGGGGAGGUAGUGACAAUACAUAACAAUGCAGGGCCUUUACGGUCUGCAAUUGGAAUGAGUACAAUUUAAAUCCCUUAACGAGGAUCAAUUGGAGGGCAAGUCUGGUGCCAGCAGCCGCGGUAAUUCCAGCUCCAAUAGCGUAUAUUAAAGUUGUUGCAGUUAAAACGUCCGUAGUCAAACUUUAGUCUUASCGGCGCGGUGGCCUGGUCUUCAUUGAUCAAGCUCGCUGUCGCUGGAGACUCCACGUCCGCUGGCUCCUAGUCCUCGUGGCUAGGGUUUUGUGGACAAUUCCAUGAGCAAAUCAGAGUGUUUAAAGCAGGCUUUUAAGCUUGAAUGUGUUAGCAUGGAAUAAUGAAAUAUGACUUUAGUCCUAUUUUCGUUGGUUUAGGUACUAUAGUAAUGAUUAAUAGAAACRGUUGGGGGCAUUUGUAUUUGGCCGCUAGAGGUGAAAUUCUUGGAUUGCCGAAGACAAACUACUGCGAAAGCAUUUGACCCAGGACGUUUUCAUUGAUCAAGGCUAAAGUUAAGGGAUCGAAGACGAUUAGAUACCGUCGUAGUCUUAACCACAAACUAUCCGACUAGAGAUUGGGCGUGUUUCUUUUGACUCGCUCACAUCUUAGCGAAAGUAAAGUUUUUGGGUUCUGGGGGAGUAUGGACGCAAGGCUGAAACUUAAAGGAAUUGACGGAAGGGCCACCAGAGGAGGCCUGCGCUUAAUUUGACUCAACACGGGGAAACUCACCAGGUCCAGACAUAGUAAGGAUUGACAGAUUGAAAGCUCUUUCUAGAUUCUAUGGGUGGUGGUGCAUGUCCGUUCUUAGUUCGUGGAGUGAUUUGUCUGGUUAAUUCCGAUAACGAACGAGACCUUAUUCUGCUAAUUACACAGGCUAACUCUUUCGGGUUGGUUUAUGUUUAUCAUUUAACUGUGUUCUUAGAGAGACUAUCUGCGAGCGAGAGUU
This 1363-nucleotide ribosomal RNA is filed under the name Rhizopus azygosporus. RNAcentral's name for it is "SSU rRNA". Lineage: Eukaryota; Fungi; Mucoromycota; Mucoromycetes; Mucorales; Rhizopodaceae. The record is from RNAcentral.